This 67-nucleotide transfer RNA is filed under the name Manis crassicaudata (Indian pangolin). RNAcentral describes it as "tRNA-Arg". Lineage: Eukaryota; Metazoa; Chordata; Mammalia; Pholidota; Manidae. The record is from RNAcentral.
UGAUAGCUAGUUUACAUAAAACAAAUGAUUUCGACUCAUUAAACUAUGAUGCACUCAUAGCUAUCAA